Molecule: ribosomal RNA, 848 nt
Filed under: uncultured organism
Description: bacterial SSU rRNA
Rfam family: Bacterial small subunit ribosomal RNA
Source: RNAcentral
GAUAAAGUUGGGCGUGAAAGCUCCGUGCUUAACGCGGAGAGGUCGUUCAAGACUGUCGAACUAGAGGGCAUCAGAGGAGCAUGGAAUUUCCGGUGUAGCGGUAAAAUGCGCAGAUAUCGGAAGGAACACCAGUGGCGAAGGCGGUGCUCUGGGGUGUACCUGACGCUGAGAGACGAAAGCUAGGGGAGCGAACAGGAUUAGAGACCCUGGUAGUCCUAGCCCUAAACGAUGGAUGCUAGAUGUGGGGUCGAGAAGACUCUGUGUCGCAGUUAACGCGCUAAGCAUCCCGCCUGGGGAUUACGGCCGCAAGGCUAAAACUCAAACGAAUUGACGGGGCCCCGCACAAGCAGCGGAGCGUGUGGUUUAAUUCGAUGCUACACGAAGAACCUUACCUGGGUUUGACAUGUAGGUGGUAGAGAAGCGAAAGCGGAUCGACCCUUCGGGGAGCCUACACAGGUGCUGCAUGGCUGUCGUCAGCUCGUGCCGUGAGGUGUCGGGUUAAGUCCCGUAACGAGCGCAACCCUUGCCCUUAGUUACAAGUGUCUAAGGGGACUGCCGGCGGUAAGCCGGAGGAAGGUGGGGAUGACGUCAAGUCAGCAUGGCCCUUAUAUCCAGGGCUACACACACGCUACAAUGGUCAGUACAAAGGGCAGCGAAGCCGCGAGGUGAAGCGAAUCCCAACAAAGCUGAUCUAAGUUCGGAUUGCAGGCUGCAACUCGCCUGCAUGAAGCUGGAGUUGCUAGUAACCGCGCGUCAGCUAUAGUGCGGUGAAUACGUUCCACGGGGCUUGUACACACCGCCCGUCACGUCAUGGGAGUCGGUAACGCCUGAAGCUGGGAGUCUGGCCC